ACUUUUAAAAAAAAUUGAAUAACAAGAAUAUACUCAUAAUUUUUGCUUAGACCACAGUGUAUAUGAUAUAGUCUGUCUCUUUUUAAAAAAUCCGUACCCUGCACUUCACAACAAAAUAUGAAUAACAAGGAUAUAUUCAUAAUUUUGGCUGAGACCACGUGAAUAUGACAAAACAUGUCUCUCUUAAAAAAAUAUAGAGUUUCAUUUGAAAUUACUUCGACAGUUUUUUUUUAGAUCUUUCUAUUUUAUUUUAGUCGAAUUGUGGAUGAAAUUCAUGAGAAGUGUCGACAAAGUUGUGAGAUUAAUACGUUUACGACACAAAUCUCAAGUGCUAAGAUUGGAAGAGAUAUUGGAGAGUUUUCUGAUCUGGUGGAUGAUGUAGAGAAUCUUGUCAUUGUUAAAAUAUUCUACAAGUCCCUCUUCUAUACAAGAAUAACCAACACUGCAGAUGGGAUUGUCGAUCUUCUUGCAAAUAUAGGAGGGAA
Eurytemora carolleeae is the source of this 485-nucleotide long non-coding RNA. RefSeq lists it as uncharacterized. The record is from RefSeq and is a predicted model, not a curated record. Lineage: Eukaryota; Metazoa; Arthropoda; Copepoda; Calanoida; Temoridae. The transcript is spliced from 3 exons.